Long non-coding RNA from Panicum virgatum (switchgrass), 1723 nucleotides. RefSeq lists it as uncharacterized. The record is from RefSeq and is a predicted model, not a curated record. The transcript is spliced from 3 exons. Lineage: Eukaryota; Viridiplantae; Streptophyta; Magnoliopsida; Poales; Poaceae.
UCAGCCGGCCGGUGGCGCCGGGGUGCCGGGGCGAUUAGGAUUAGUGCUGGGGAGUUGGGACCGCACCUCAAGUGGGCGGCGGCGGCAAAGAUGGCGAGGCGGCUUGGGGGCACGAGGCUGGGGAGACGCUGCCGCUGGACGCCGGUGGUUGGAUGAGAAGCGGACGUGCGGUUGCGGCGUGCACAAGCACAAUUGCGCAAAGGAGCCGCUCCCCGCUCGGCAGGCUUAUGGACCUCGGUCAGGUGCGGUUUGCCAUCUCUCCCCAGUGGCUAUUUGAAUGGUGAUCUCGUGAAAGAGUUAAGGUAAUUAAAUUGGUAACGAAAAGGACAGGUAAAUGAACCAAGAAGAAAGGACACCGAGAGACUGAAAUAAGAAGUCAUGUGGCAAGAUAAACUACAAGAAGAAACAAUGUAAUUGCUGCCGGCAUGGUUUUAGUCACCCUGAAGGCCGGCAUGGAGGCAAAGUAGUUGGGAAACAGACAGGUACGACAUGGUUGGAAUCUCGAUUAGACAUGAAAGGUAUCUUUAGAUAUUUUCAAGGAGGAUCUGUCGGGAUCUUUAGGUACCUUCAAUUUAAGUAUGUGUUACUAGAAGCUUUGAAUGUUAGCAACCCUCGACCAUUUCAUUUAUUAUAUUCUUUCUGAACAAAAAAACUCAACAUUGUCCUUGAAAAUGUUACAGGGUUACACGAUCCAAAAUGAAAAGAAUCUGAUACUCAUUGCCCUUUCCACGCUCUCUAUCAUCUUAGUGGAGUCAAGUAUAGAAUCAAAUGGCCUCUUCCUAUUCAAAGGCUGAUGCUCGUCUUGAUGCGAAUUCAUGGCUAAACUGUUGCAAGUAACAGGAUUCUUCCCUUUUGUAUGUAGAAGAUUCUCCUCUUCUCAGAGGACCUCAAGCUCAACCAAUUUUAAGAACUCCUCGGUAUCUGCCGAUAACUUCUCUAACUUAUCCACUGUGCUGUUGAGCUUCUCCACGUCCUCAUCUAAUGAGAACAGUACCUUGCCGGCAUUGUGAAAGUACUCUACGAUACUGGACAUAGCAAUCUUUAUGUACGCCAGAGGCCCAGAUGUACCAAUCUGAUUGCUGUUGUUCUUGCUGGCUUCAUUCAGGGCUCGCCAAUUGAAGGUAAAGAGGACCUCAUCGCCAUCCGCAGCUGCUUCUUUCAGCAUCUCCUGCCACUGAAGCAGCUGCACUUUUCAGUCACCUUGGAGAUGAGCCUACCCGUGAUGUCAGUGACCACUGCUGAACAAAUCACUCCUCCCAUUGAUGAAGCAGCUUGUAUGAAUAGUCCGAGCAGCAGCUCAAAGGAAAGUUGAGGGAUUGGGUGUGUAUUGAUUAGGUGUUCUUUCUGCACUGCCAUCUGAGGGAUUUAACUGGUUUGUGGCAGAAAAAGGACAACCAAAAUGUACGGGGUGGAAGAGGUUCCAAGGGAGGGAAAACGAGAAUUACGAAGCACACCGAUUAUGUGAUUGGGGGAACCGGAGAAGUCAAGGGUACAUAGUUGCUGUCAUCCACUCAACACAGGGCCCUGGUUGAGAGGAACAAGGCACUGCUGUGUGCAUAGUUUACAUCAGGUAAUGGCCUGCACAAGAGAAUAUCACCGGCAGCCUUACAAACUGCCUGCUCCCAUGCCUGUACUGUUGAGCUGUAAGCAGGAUGUUGCGCGUGCUCAUCUCAGUCAGUAUAAAUAUAAUUUUUAGGAAAAAAAUCCAAUUUACUCCCUUCAA